Molecule: ribosomal RNA, 718 nt
Filed under: uncultured bacterium
Lineage: Bacteria
Description: bacterial SSU rRNA
Rfam family: Bacterial small subunit ribosomal RNA
Source: RNAcentral
AUUGAACGGCGCGGAAUGCUUUACACAUGCAAGUCGAACGGCAGCACGGGUGCUUGCACCUGGUGGCGAGUGGCGAACGGGUGAGUAAUAUAUCGGAACGUAUCCAAUAAUGGGGGAUAACUAGCCGAAAGGUUAGCUAAUACCGCAUACGCCCUGAGGGGGAAAGCUGGGGAUCGUAAGACCUAGCGUUGAUGGAGCGGCCGAUAUCUGAUUAGCUAGUUGGUGGGGUAAGAGCCUACCAAGGCGACGAUCAGUAGCUGGUCUGAGAGGACGACCAGCCACACUGGAACUGAGACACGGUCCAGACUCCUACGGGAGGCAGCAGUGGGGAAUUUUGGACAAUGGGGGCAACCCUGAUCCAGCCAUUCCGCGUGAGUGAAGAAGGCCUUCGGGUUGUAAAGCUCUUUCGCAAGGGAAGAAAACUCGAUCUCUAAUAUAGGUUGAGGCUGACGGUACCUUGAUAAGAAGCACCGGCUAACUACGUGCCAGCAGCCGCGGUAAUACGUAGGGUGCGAGCGUUAAUCGGAAUUACUGGGCGUAAAGCGUGCGCAGGCGGUUUUGAAAGUCAGAUGUGAAAUCCCCGGGCUCAACCUGGGAACUGCGUUUGAAACUCCAAAGCUAGAGUAUGGGAGAGGGAGGUAGAAUUCCACGUGUAGCAGUGAAAUGCGUAGAGAUGUGGAGGAAUACCAAUGGCGAAGGCAGCCUCCUGGCCUAAUAC